GACGAACGCUUGCGGCGUGCUUAACACAUGCAAGUCGAACGGAAAGGCCCUGCUUUUGUGGGGUGCUCGAGUGGCGAACGGGUGAGUAACACGUGAGUAACCUGCCCUUGACUUUGGGAUAACUUCAGGAAACUGGGGCUAAUACCGGAUAGGAGCUCCUGCUGCAUGGUGGGGGUUGGAAAGUUUCGGCGGUUGGGGAUGGACCCGCGGCUUAUCAGCUUGUUGGUGGGGUAGUGGCUUACCAAGGCUUUGACGGGUAGCCGGCCUGAGAGGGUGACCGGCCACAUUGGGACUGAGAUACGGCCCAGACUCCUACGGGAGGCAGCAGUGGGGAAUAUUGCACAAUGGGCGGAAGCCUGAUGCAGCAACGCCGCGUGCGGGAUGACGGCCUUCGGGUUGUAAACCGCUUUCGCCUGUGACGAAGCGUGAGUGACGGUAAUGGGUAAAGAAGCACCGGCUAACUACGUGCCAGCAGCCGCGGUGAUACGUAGGGUGCGAGCGUUGUCCGGAUUUAUUGGGCGUAAAGGGCUCGUAGGUGGUUGAUCGCGUCGGAAGUGUAAUCUUGGGGCUUAACCCUGAGCGUGCUUUCGAUACGGGUUGACUUGAGGAAGGUAGGGGAGAAUGGAAUUCCUGGUGGAGCGGUGGAAUGCGCAGAUAUCAGGAGGAACACCAGUGGCGAAGGCGGUUCUCUGGGCCUUUCCUGACGCUGAGGAGCGAAAGCGUGGGGAGCGAACAGGCUUAGAUACCCUGGUAGUCCACGCUGUAAACGGCGGGUACUAGGUGUGGGGUCCAUUCCACGGGUUCCGUGCCGUAGCUAACGCUUUAAGUACCCCGCCUGGGGAGUACGGCCGCAAGGCUAAAACUCAAAGGAAUUGACGGGGCCCCGCACAAGCGGCGGAGCAUGCGGAUUAAUUCGAUGCAACGCGUAGAACCUUACCUGGGUUUGACAUGGAUCGGGAGCGCUCAGAGAUGGGUGUGCCUCUUUUGGGGUCGGUUCACAGGUGGUGCAUGGCUGUCGUCAGCUCGUGUCGUGAGAUGUUGGGUUAAGUCCCGCAACGAGCGCAACCCUUGUUCACUGUUGCCAGCACGUUAUGGUGGGGACUCAGUGGAGACCGCCGGGGUCAACUCGGAGGAAGGUGGGGAUGACGUCAAGUCACCAUGCCCCUUAUGUCCAGGGCUUCACGCAUGCUACAAUGGCUGGUACAGAGAGUGGCGAGCCUGUGAGGGUGAGCGAAUCUCGGAAAGCCGGUCUCAGUUCGGAUUGGGGUCUGCAACUCGACCUCAUGAAGUCGGAGUCGCUAGUAAUCGCAGAUCAGCAACGCUGCGGUGAAUACGUUCCCGGG
Molecule: ribosomal RNA, 1343 nt
Filed under: uncultured bacterium
Lineage: Bacteria
Description: 16S ribosomal RNA
Rfam family: Bacterial small subunit ribosomal RNA
Source: RNAcentral